Molecule: transfer RNA, 76 nt
Filed under: uncultured Paludibacter sp.
Lineage: Bacteria; Pseudomonadati; Bacteroidota; Bacteroidia; Bacteroidales; Paludibacteraceae
Description: tRNA-Lys
Rfam family: tRNA
About the family: Transfer RNA (tRNA) molecules are approximately 80 nucleotides in length. Their secondary structure includes four short double-helical elements and three loops (D, anti-codon, and T loops).
Source: RNAcentral
GACUCCGUAGCUCAGCUGGUAGAGCAAAUGACUCUUAAUCAUUGGGUCGAGGGUUCGAGCCCCUCCGGGGUCACAA